Sapajus apella (tufted capuchin) is the source of this 1211-nucleotide long non-coding RNA. RefSeq lists it as uncharacterized. Lineage: Eukaryota; Metazoa; Chordata; Mammalia; Primates; Cebidae. The record is from RefSeq and is a predicted model, not a curated record. The transcript is spliced from 2 exons.
CAAUACCUCCAUACAUGUCUAAGGAAAGAAAAAAAGUCAUGUUAUAACUGGUUAAAAAAAGUUCUUACUUUGAAUUUAUUAGACAUUUCAACAGCAAGGGAUUUCUAAAAUAAGAAAUAAAUACACAUAUUUAAGGAAAGAAAACAAAGCUGUUUACUCCUGCAUAUACAUUCCAUUAGGAUUUUCUUUGAGGCCUAAUUUAACCAUUUCUCCAGAAUUGCAAGGUUCAUAAAAAAGGCUAAACAGGGACAAUUGUAGAAAUAGGAAUGGGACUUUGGUGAGGCAAGCAAGGUAUACAGCGUGCUUUAUUUAAAGAGGCACUCACUCUCAGUAAGUGUACCUUAGGCAGCAAUGUUACCUCAGUCUAGCCUGGCCCUGGGUAUAAACAUCUAGACUGACAAUGCCAGUAUCAAUUACUGCACAUAUGCCUUUUAAUAUUUUUGAAAGCUUACAGCCAACUAGCAUAAUCAAACACUGUAUUCAACUUUGUGUUUAAAUUAAAGAGCAUCUUAAGCCACAUCCAACUAGGCAGAAAAGAGUGUCUCAAAUAUGAAGUGAUUAUUUGGAAGAAAAACUAGUUCAUGAAAAUGAGUAAUUCUUCCAACAAAACUCCUAAGUCUGCUUCUAAUCUUUUUUAUUGACAUGUUGACUUGCAUUUCUCAUGUUUGCUUUCUUAAUAUUUUAACUUAGAAAACACUACUUAGUUUCCAGAUAUAAAAAACCCCACAAACUUUGCCAGGUUACAAAGCAACUUAAAUCCAGGUUACAAAGGACCUACAUUAGAAAUUUAAAUCCAGGUUCUAAUCUAAAUGGUAUAACUAACAAGUCUAAUUUUUCCUUUCUUAAAGAUAUUGCCUUCAUUUGCUAUUAAAUAUAUUAAUAACUGUCAGCAUAUACACAUUUAUCUAGCAAAUUAUAACAUGAGGUAGCUAUCCUAUGUUAUAGUUUCUAGUUUAAACUAUAGCAUUUUGCAAUACACCCAUAUCAACUUUUGCUUAACUUAAUCUCAUACUGUAUUACAAGUUAGGAAAUGGGUAUUUUUAUUUAGCCCCUAGUAAACAUAUUUUUUUUGAGACAGGGCCUUGACCUGUUGUCCAUACUGGAGUACAGUGACACAAUCACAGCUCACUGCAGCCAACCUCUCAGGCUCAACCUACCAAAGUGCUGGGAUUACAGGCCAUGAACCACAACGCCUAGUUGAAAAACAUCUU